GGGGAAAGCAGAGGCAGACAUUAUUAUUUAUUUCCCACAUUGUAAAACCAAAGAAGCCAUCAGAACCUUUCCUUUCUGAGGGUUGAAGGCCUCUGUGGACCCUGGUCCCAUUCCGUAACCUUGUACCCUGAAAGUAGCUUCUGACCAGGUAGAAAAGCCACACACCUCCCACUCCCUGACCCUCAAGCUUCCACCUGUUUCACCUUGAGCGCUUUCGAGGUGAAAUCUGAAACCAACCCCUAGUGGAGAGCACUCAGAGGGAGGGAUAGAAAAGAAAGAGCCGACCACUUGGAUUGGUAGGUGGGAGUUCUAACAUGUAAGGCAACUUACAUUUUUGUCUGGGGCGGCCCCAAGGCCAGCAGAUCUCUGCACUCACCUUCAGAAACUUAAAAGGUUUAUCGGGAGGUCUUAGCGGGGUUCAGCUGCAUAUACAGUGCCGAUGCACCUAAUAGCCUCCCUCUCUUAAGGCUGUAUCCUUAGAACUCCCGCUGUGGGAACAGUGGGCACAAGGUCCAUUCCAAAGACGGGAGGGCUGGAGCCUCCGAUUGCCCAGGUUCAACUCACGUGUCAAUCAACGGUCACAUCCUUUCGAUGACCUCCCCUAACAACCUCUCAUGCUGAGCAGGAUUUCCUGAGGCUCCGACACUUGCCAGGCCUCCAGUGUGGGUCAAGCAAGACCCAUUCUUUGACCAGACCCAGUGCGUCUUCCUUCUCCCUCUGCUUCCUGACCAUCAGGUGUUAGAAAUUCGAGGCUCCACAGGUGACCUGAGAGCACCGUGGACCUCUGUGUCCUCUCCUUGUCAUCCUUCUGGAUUUCACUGCUGUCCCGUGAGGCGGAAUGUCUUUGUGGUCAUGUACAGUUGUAAGAGUUGGACCAUCAAGAAGGCUGAGCACUGAAGAAUUGAUGUUUUCAAAUUAUGGUGCUGGAGAGACUCCUGAAAGUCCCUUGGAGUGCAAGGAGAUCAAACCAGUCAAUCCUAAAGGAAAUCAAUCCUGAAUAUUCAUUGGAAGCGCUGUUGCUGAAACUGAAGCUCCAGUACUUUGAUUACCUAAUGUGACCAGUCUGACUCAUUGGAAAAAACCCUGAUGCUGGGAAAGAUUGAGGGCAAAAGGAGAACGGGGGCGGCAGAGGGUGAGAUGGUUGGCAAGCAUUACUGACUCAACAUGAAUUUGAGUAAACUCUGGAAGAUAGUGGAGGACAGAGGAGCCUGAUGUGCUGCAGUCCAUGGGGUCUCAAAGAGUCAGACAAGGCUUAGGGACUCAACACAACAACAACCACCUACCUGGACCCCCU
Long non-coding RNA from Bos taurus (domestic cattle), 1294 nucleotides. NCBI's taxonomy places the organism in Eukaryota, Metazoa, Chordata, Mammalia, Artiodactyla, Bovidae. The record is from Ensembl.